This is a long non-coding RNA of Cervus elaphus (red deer), 592 nucleotides long. RefSeq lists it as uncharacterized. The transcript has 3 exons. The record is from RefSeq and is a predicted model, not a curated record. Lineage: Eukaryota; Metazoa; Chordata; Mammalia; Artiodactyla; Cervidae.
UAGUUCCUGGAGUAUAAACCCCUAUGUUUGCUUUAUGGAACCAUCACUGAAUUGGAACUAGUACCUUUCUCAGCAUAUGAUACUUCACAACCCAGAAUCCAGUCUAGAGGAAAAGUCAGUGACAGUGAGCUCUGGUCCCUGGGGAAGGCAACAGAACUUAAGAAAACACUUCAAAAUGGAGAAGCAGCAGAGAGAUCUUCCUCUGCUAAUGAGACCAAAAUGGAAAACUAUGACAACUGAGGUUUGAAGAUAUUUGCAUGGGAUCACCAUGCUUGACUGUGGCAGAGCAGAGACCGAAAUUAAAGUCUUUCUGCCUCCAAAGACUGGCGCUAAAUCAUGAUGCUGACUCGUGCACAAAUUAUUUUCUAAAUAUUAUGUCUGUUUGCACACUUUCCACAUUACAGUGAGGGCAUCUUUACAUAUAGUUAAGAUAGAGAUGCUGCCUGUUAGAUUUAAUGAAGUUUAACCAUCCUUUUAUAAUAAUUUGGAGCUAUCUUCAAAUUAAACUCAAUGUAAUAGACAUGUCUAUUUAUGUAUGCAGGUCAUACUAAUGUAUGCAGGUCAGGAAGCAACAGUUAGAACUGGACAUGGA